GUCAAAUCAUGAUGUGGGGGGGGCGAGGUCAAAUCAUGAUGUGGGGGGGACAAGAGACGCCUCUGUGGAGACCCCUCUGUGGAGGUGGAGACCCCUCUGUGGAGGUGGAGACCCCUCUGUGGAGGUGGAGACCCCUCUGUGGCGGUGGAGACCCCUCUGUGGAGGUGGAGACCCCUCUGUGGCGGAUAUUGAUUCAGAUGUUUCUGGAGCCAUGACAUGAGAAAAUGUGUUUUUCAUUUUAUUUGUUUAUUAGGAUCCCCAUUAGCUAGCUAGGGGACAGCAAGUCUUACUGGGGAAACAACAUAUAAUGAAAAAUACUUUACAGACAAAUUACUUUACAGUUUAAAUACAUUUAAAAACAGUAACAUAUAAUGUGUGUGUAUUUAUCAGUGACACAUACAUGUCAGUACACACACAACCAGUAGGUCACAUGUCAGUACACACGACCAGUAGGUCACAUGUCAGUACAAACACACAACCAGUAGGUCACAUAUCAGUACACACACACACGACCAGUAGGUCACAUAUCAGUACACACAACCAGUAGGUCACAUGUCAGCAGCAGCACGGCCAGGUGGACUGGGGACAUGUCAGUACAUGUUCCAUGCACUCAUGGCUCUGGAUAAUACUGCACGUUUUCUUGAAUUUGUUCUGGAUUUGGGGACUGUGAAAAGACCCCUGGUGGCAUGUCUGGUGGGGUAAGUGUGUGUGUGUCAGUGCUGUGUGUGUAAGUUGACUAUGCAAACAAUUUGGAAUUUCCAACACAUGAAUGUUUCUUUAUAAAAAUAAAAAAAAACAGUUUCUCGACUCUUAGCCAAGAGAGACGCAUGUGUAGUAUUAAUAUCAGCCCUCUGAUUACAG
Molecule: long non-coding RNA, 861 nt
Filed under: Salmo salar (Atlantic salmon)
Lineage: Eukaryota; Metazoa; Chordata; Actinopteri; Salmoniformes; Salmonidae
Description: lncRNA (ENSSSAG00000092017.1, ENSSSAG00000119064.1)
Source: RNAcentral